Vespa crabro (European hornet) is the source of this 710-nucleotide long non-coding RNA. RefSeq lists it as uncharacterized. The record is from RefSeq and is a predicted model, not a curated record. Lineage: Eukaryota; Metazoa; Arthropoda; Insecta; Hymenoptera; Vespidae. The transcript has 2 exons.
UAUAUCCAUACAAUGGAUACUAAAAAGAUAAUACAAAGCAUAGAUGGAAGGGAUUAUCAUAAACUGAAAUCGUUAUGCCUUUUGUUCGGCAAAUUUUUAUUGAAUAUUUUUCCUUUUGUUUGACUUUUAGUAACUGAAUGACUACGUUCUAUUGUAAAGAAAUCGUAUGUUUUCUUUGCAAUUUUUAUGAAUGUAUAUGUAUAUCAAAUAAUCGAUCUGCUCAGUACAGUAGUUAGGGCAGGGAGAACAAGAGGGUUUCUCUUUUACAUAUGUUGUAUGCAUGUAUAUCUGUUCGAGAAUUCUUAUAGUCGCAUUUGAAACUAACAAUUUUUUAGUAUAAUAAUAUCAUAAUAUAUAUACGAAGUUAUAUUACGUUAGACUCUAAGAAUAAGAAUCGACAUGAAUGAAAAAAAAAAGGUUAAGGAAGAAGAACCAAGUAACACAUGUAAUUAAGGAUAUUAGGAGCUUUUGCAUUACAUUUUAAAUAUAAGUUUCAAAUGUAAAGAGAUGCAAGUAUAUCAUAAUAGUUAUAUAUUUAAAAUGGAAACUGUGUAAAUGUAUAAAAAGAAUGAUAAAUGGUUAUAAUAAAGUUAGGAUAUAAAGAAAUUCAAGAUUCGAUAUUGUCUCUAGCUUGCACGGUAAUAAUUUUUAUUUGCAUUAUAUUUAACUUGUUCUAAAUGAAUUUCUGUAAUAUAAACAUUUAGAUAAUA